Molecule: non-coding RNA, 137 nt
Organism: Triticum aestivum (bread wheat)
Lineage: Eukaryota; Viridiplantae; Streptophyta; Magnoliopsida; Poales; Poaceae
Source: Rfam
AGGCAGCCUCUUUAUCAUUACAGUGGCAUUGGAGGUGUUGCGUUGCUCGGAUAGUAAACCUUUUGCUCUUCAGAUUAGCUGAGGGGGAGGCUCCUGCUUCCCUCCCUGAAAGCUGGUCUAGUAGUCUUAAGAACAUU